AUGGCUGCCGAAAACAAGCCGGAAGGACUGAAGAAAGUUCGUAAUCCGGAUCGAAUGUACAGAUCAGCAGUGUGUUAUGCUGGCCAUGGUCCACCUAAGAAUAUCAGUGAUGACACAGAGACGAACAAUGAACAUGGACAUUUGAAAAUAUACCUGCCCAAGAAGCUGCUUGAAUGUCUACCAAAAUGCACGUCGCUGCCAAAGGAGAGACACCGGUGGAACACUAAUGAGGAGAUCGCGGCUUACUUGAUAACAUUUGAAAAGCAUGAAGAAUGGCUAACGACAUCCCCUAAAACAAGGCCGCAGAAUGGGUCGAUGAUACUGUACAAUAGGAAGAAGGUGAAGUACAGAAAGGAUGGCUACUGCUGGAAGAAGAGGAAAGAUGGGAAGACCACACGGGAGGAUCACAUGAAGUUGAAAGUGCAGGGAGUUGAGUGUCUGUAUGGCUGCUACGUCCACUCCUCCAUCAUCCCUACCUUCCACCGUAGGUGCUACUGGCUUCUCCAGAACCCUGAUAUUGUGCUCGUCCACUAUUUGAAUGUUCCAGCGAUCGAGGAUUGUGGGAAACCAUGUGGACCUAUCCUGUGUUCCAUCAAUACAGACAAGAAAGAGUGGGCCAAGUGGACCAAGGAGGAACUGAUCGGCCAGCUCAAACCCAUGUUUCAUGGCAUCAAGUGGACUUGCAGCAAUGGGAACAGCAGCUCUGGCUUCUCAGUGGAGCAGCUAGUGCAACAGAUUCUGGACAGCCACCAAACUAAGCCACCUCCCCGGACUCACAACUGCCUCUGCACGGGCACCCUGGGUGCAGGAAGCAGUGUGCACCACAAAUGCAACAGUGCCAAACACCGCAUUAUCUCCCCAAAAGUGGACCCCCGCUCAGGGGGAUACAGCAGUGCCCACUCAGAGGUACAGAACAACGAUGUGUCUGAGGGGAAGACAGAGCACAGUGCCCAUGGGGGUAGCACCAGGGAGAAACGCAAUGGCAAAGUCCACAAGCCUGUCCUGCUACACCAGAACAGCACAGAGGUGUCAUCUACAAACCAGGUUGAGGUCCCUGACACCACCCAGAACUCACCUGUCUCCAUCAGCAGCGGCCUCAACAGCGAUCCGGACAUGGCUGAUAGCCCUGUGGUGACAGGGAUGAGUCAUGUGGCCUCUGUCAUGUCUGGCCUGUCUCAGAGUGUCUUUAUGUCUGAGGUCCCUGGAGACCCUGUCUACAGCAUGUCUCCUACUGGGGGUCCAAAUACUCACCUCAUGGGUGCAGAUGCCACUUCACAGGGCCUGGUGCUGUCUGUGACCUCUGAUCGUCACAAAUUUGCUUUCCCCAGUGGAGGUGUAGGAGAACCUGGGACUACCACUGCAGGAGACAGUCUUUCCAUGUUGUCUACAGCUGGGGUGUCUGAGGAACUGGUGCUCUCCAGCAGUCUGGACUCGGGAACCAUCAAGAUCCCAGAAACUAAUAUGAACUUUGAUCCCGACUGCUUCCUGAACAACCCCAAACAAGGCCAGACCUAUGGAGGCAGCGCAAUGAAGACAGAGGGAAACUCCUCCACCUCUCUACAACGCUCCCCCACCAUGUCAGAUAACACCUACACUUUCAACUCAGCUCUCGUAAAGAACAUCAAAACGGAAGAUACAUCAUUUGAACAGCAGCUGGCCAAGGAGAGUGGCUACCAGGUGGGGGCAGUAGUGAACUGUGGCAGUGGCGGCAGCCUCAGUCUGACAGCCACGGGCUCCCUGCUUCCAUCUGGAGGUGGUUUGAGUCCCAGCACUACCUUGGAGCAAAUGGAUUUCAGUGCCAUCGAUGCCAAGCAAGACUAUACGUCCAGCACUACCACAGUGAGCUAUGGUCAAGCCAUGUCCAGUCCUCACAUGCAACAUCAGAAUCGUUCACCCAGCUUCUUCCUCCAGGAUGCAUCUCAGACCAACUCACCUGGCAGUAAUGGCUCACCCACAGAAGGGCCUGGCCAGGCUGGCUCCCUCCAGCUGCUACAAUACCAGGGGACCUUUCCUGGGCUGGGCACUGAGCAUGAGGAGGUGGUUGGUCUAGAGCAACCUGGGAAUGGUGGCGGAGGAGGGACAGGAGCGGCCAGUAACGGAGGAGCAGGAGGGACAGGCAUGGAGAUAAGUCUGGAUCACUUUGACAUCUCUUUUGGAAACCAGUUUUCUGACCUCAUUAAUGACUUCAUCUCAGUGGAUGGUAGUGGAACAGCCAUGUCAGCUGGAGGGACCUUAUAUGCUCACCAGCUUGUCACAUCUCACAACUCAGAUAACCAGACCACAGCUGGUGGACCCCCACAGCAGGGCCAGGAAGAUGGAGGAGCCAGGGGCUCUGGUUACAGCCCCUCGGAGCUCUGCCUCCAACCCUGCUGCAGCCCCCAGUCUUUAAGUGGAGGGGCCAGUGCAGGAGGAGGCACAGGAGAGACAGGCUCAUUGUCCUACAUGAAUGUAGCAGAGGUGGUUUCUGCAGCUGUAGCCCAGGGUGCUCUGGGGAUGCUCCAGGCCACAGGCCGUCUUUUCAUGGUCACUGACUACUCCCCUGAGUGGUCCUACCCUGAGGGUGGAGUUAAGGUGCUGAUCACUGGGCCAUGGCAAGAGGCCACCUCAAAUUACAGCUGUUUGUUUGACCAGAUCUCAGUUCCAGCUUCUCUUAUCCAGCCAGGGGUGCUGCGUUGUUACUGCCCAGCUCAUGAUACAGGUCUGGUGACACUACAGGUGGCUGUCAGUAACCAGAUCAUCUCCAAUUCAGUGGUGUUUGAGUAUAAGGCCCGCGCACUUCCUUCACUGCCAUCAUCUCAGCACGACUGGCUUUCUCUGGAUGAUAACCAGUUCAGAAUGUCUAUCCUGGAGCGCUUGGAGCAGAUGGAGAGGAGGAUGGCAGAGAUGGCCAGCCACCAGCAAACGAGCGGUGCAGGGAGUGGUGGUGGAGGAGCUGGAGGUGGAGGCAACAAUAGCCAGUCACAGUGUGUAUCUGGCCAAACGCAAGCCAGCAGCUCCUUUGAGAGCCGUGUUGUGGUGGUCUGCGAGAAGAUGAUGAGCAGAGCUUGCUGGGCCAAGUCCAAGCAUUUAAUCCACUCCAAGACCUUCAGAGGCAUGACACUCCUUCAUCUGGCUGCAGGCCAGGGCUACGCCACCCUCAUCCAGACACUCAUCAAGUGGCGUACAAAGCAUGCUGAUAGUAUUGAUUUGGAGUUAGAAGUGGACCCUCUCAAUGUGGAUCACUUCUCGUGCACACCUCUGAUGUGGGCCUGUGCGCUGGGUCACCUGGAGGCAGCGGUGGUACUAUACAAAUGGGACAGACGUGCCCUAGCUAUCCCAGAUUCUCUAGGCCGCUUACCCCUGUCAAUUGCCCGCUCACGUGGCCAUACCAAAUUGGCAGAGUGUCUGGAGCAGUUACAGAGGGAAGAGCAGCAACCGCCAGCCCCUCUACCACCUACAACUCGCAUGUCUUUUUCCCCAGCCCCUGAUGCCCCCACCACAGACAGCUGGAUGGUCAGCUGGGCAAACACCAGUGUAGUAGCACCAAGUGGCAAGAAAGGAUGUCCUGCCACCACAACAACCACACCCAACUUGAGAAGGCCAAGGUCAGAACCCUCCAACUACUACAGCAGCGAGGGCCAAAGAGACCUCCCACUAGCUAAAAAACAUAAACCCAACCCAGAACUGUUUCAAACUCGGCCUGACAAGGCCAUGUCUGUUCCUUUGAGCCUGGAGCAGCAACAGCUGCAUAAGCUGUCCUCGAGUACUAAGAGCCUGUCCUCAGAAGUCCUGAGCUCAGACAAAGGACUGUCUACUGGAGGCAGCACAGGGACAGCAAGAUGGACCUCCAGAGAGAGUUUCUCCAGCAGCAGCAACUUGGGAAGGAAGGCGCUGGGUGUCAGUGGAGGCAGCAGCUUGGGGAAGGAGAAACUGGCCAACCGGUUACGGCAGCGGGAACAGUUAGGGAUGCUAGUGAUGUCAGAAAGUGAAAUGGCUGAUUCAGAGCUGCUAUCAUAUCGGGAGGAUCUAGAGAACCAGGACUGCCUCACACAGAUGGAUGACCUGCAGGUAAAUAUGAUGACUCUGGCUGAGCACAUAAUUGAAGCAACACCAGAGAGAAUCAAAAGGGAGAACUUCACCGCUGCAGACUCUGUGCCCUUAGACACAUCAGGGGUCAGCAACACCAUGAACUGGCUGGCCAACUACCUGGGAGACGUAGAACAGCUGCCAAGCAUCAUACAUCUACGAUCUCUGUAUAAUGAACCCCUGACCCCAUCAUCUAACCCCAGUUUGAGCCCCGGAGGGUCUCCGUUGAGAGAGGGCCCCCUGGAAAGGUCAACACUUCCUUCCCCAGCUGACUGGAGUGAGUUCAUCAAUGCCUCCAACAGCAAAGUGGAGCGAGACCUGGCCCAGCUGACUCUGUCAGAUCCAGAGCAGAGAGAGCUAUAUGAGGCGGCCCGCCUAGUCCAAACUGCCUUCCGCAAGUACAAGGGGCGGCCGCUCAGAGAGCAACAAGAGGUAGCUGCUGCUGUUAUACAACGUUGUUACAAGAAGUACAAACAGCUAACAUGGAUAGCCUUGAAGUAUGCACUUUAUAAGAAGAUGACGCAGGCCGCCAUCCUUAUCCAGAGUAAAUUCCGCAGCUACCACGAACAGAAGAAGUUCCAGCAGAGCAAGAGGGCUGCCGUGCUCAUUCAGCAAUACUACCGCAGCUACAAGGAGUUUGGCAGGCUGAAGCCACACCACCGUGGGGCUGCUGCUGCUCUGGUGCAGCACAAACUAAGAAGUAGUCUGCUCACAAAGAGGCAGGAUCAGGCUGCCAGGAAGAUUAUGAGGUUCCUACGACGUUGUCGCCACAGGUAG
This 4842-nucleotide long non-coding RNA is filed under the name Oreochromis niloticus (Nile tilapia). RNAcentral describes it as "lncRNA (ENSONIG00000016902.2)". The record is from RNAcentral. Lineage: Eukaryota; Metazoa; Chordata; Actinopteri; Cichliformes; Cichlidae.